This 305-nucleotide long non-coding RNA is filed under the name Gallus gallus (chicken). The record is from RNAcentral. Lineage: Eukaryota; Metazoa; Chordata; Aves; Galliformes; Phasianidae.
GCUCUAUCGCCUCCAAAAAUUCCAGCGUUGCUUUUUCUGGCUUGGACAAAAAUAAGUCAGUGUUGGCAAGCACAAUCCCUGUUAUGGCUGCGCCAACGGCUCCGAGACCAACCGACCACAUGCCCAUGGUGAAGAUCCCAAAGUCAGGUAGGAAAGACAUUUACGGCCGCCGCCGCUCCGUGCCGCCGCCUGGCACCGCCCCCCCGGCCGCCCUCUGGCCACGUGCUGCGGGGCUCCCACGCUUCAGGCCGCUAGAUAAAGCGAGCGCAGAGCUCCGGCUCCAUCCCUAAUCCCUUCUUGUCCUC